UACGUAGGGUGCGAGCGUUGUCCGGAAUUAUUGGGCGUAAAGGGCUCGUAGGCGGUUUGUCGCGUCGGGAGUGAAAUCAUCUGGCUUAACUGGGUGCUUGCUUUCGAUACGGGCAGACUAGAGGUAUGCAGGGGAGAACGGAAUUCCUGGUGUAGCGGUGAAAUGCGCAGAUAUCAGGAGGAACACCUAUGGCGAAAGCAGCUCUCUGGGACGGUACUGACGCUGAGACGCGAAAGCGUGGGGAGCGAACAGG
This 253-nucleotide ribosomal RNA is filed under the name uncultured bacterium. Its description in RNAcentral is "partial 16S ribosomal RNA". It matches the Rfam family "Bacterial small subunit ribosomal RNA", at positions 524 to 776 of the family's 1533-position model. The record is from RNAcentral.